UACGUAGGGGGCUAGCGUUGUCCGGAUUUAUUGGGCGUAAAGAGCGUGUAGGCGGCUAUGCAGGUCCGCUGUGAAAACUCGAGGCUCAACCUCGAGACGUCGGUGGAAGCCGCAUGGCUAGAGUCCGGAAGAGGAGAGUGGAAUUCCCGGUGUAGCGGUGAAAUGCGCAGAUAUCGGGAAGAACACCCGUGGCGAAGGCGGCUCUCUGGGACGGUACUGACGCUGAGACGCGAAAGCGUGGGGAGCGAACAGG
RNAcentral lists this ribosomal RNA (253 nucleotides) under uncultured bacterium. RNAcentral's name for it is "partial 16S ribosomal RNA". It matches the Rfam family "Bacterial small subunit ribosomal RNA", at positions 524 to 776 of the family's 1533-position model. The record is from RNAcentral.